Molecule: transfer RNA, 85 nt
Filed under: Chamaesiphon sp.
Lineage: Bacteria; Bacillati; Cyanobacteriota; Cyanophyceae; Gomontiellales; Chamaesiphonaceae
Description: tRNA-Ser
Rfam family: tRNA
About the family: Transfer RNA (tRNA) molecules are approximately 80 nucleotides in length. Their secondary structure includes four short double-helical elements and three loops (D, anti-codon, and T loops). Further hydrogen bonds mediate the characteristic L-shaped molecular structure. tRNAs have two regions of fundamental functional importance: the anti-codon, which is responsible for specific mRNA codon recognition, and the 3' end, to which the tRNAs corresponding amino acid is attached (by aminoacyl-tRNA synthetases). tRNAs cope with the degeneracy of the genetic code in two manners: having more than one tRNA (with a specific anti-codon) for a particular amino acid; and 'wobble' base-pairing, i.e. permitting non-standard base-pairing at the 3rd anti-codon position.
Source: RNAcentral
GGAGGAGUGGCCGAGUGGUCGAUGGCGCAGCACUGGAAAUGCUGUGUAGGGCAACUUACCGUGGGUUCGAAUCCCACCUCCUCCG